This 298-nucleotide ribosomal RNA is filed under the name uncultured eukaryote. Its description in RNAcentral is "partial 18S ribosomal RNA". It matches the Rfam family "Eukaryotic small subunit ribosomal RNA", at positions 1470 to 1796 of the family's 1831-position model. The record is from RNAcentral.
CCCUUAGACACUCUAGGCGGCACGCGCGCUACAAUGGGUGGAAGAACGUGUUACUGCCUCCGAAAGGAGGGGUGAAUCACGAAUUCUUGCCCGUGAAUGGGAUAGUUUGUUGCAAUUUUCGGACUUGAACUAGGAAUCCCUUGUAAACAUGCUCAAGAAUAGCGUGUUGAAUACGUCCCUGCCGUUUGUACACACCGCCCGUCGUUUCUUCCGACUGAUACUCAUUGUGAGUUGCAAGGACCCUUUAUUGGGAAAUUGCUGCAAAUGCUUUGUAUUGGAGGAAGAAAAAGUCAUAACA